CAUUGCAUUCUGCCAGUACUAACAUAUGGAGUCGAAACUUGGAAGUUAACAAAGAAGCUUGCCAAAAAGUUAAGGACCACCCAACGAGCGAUAGAAAGAAAAAUGUUAGAAAGGAAAUCUAAAGAGACAAGAAGACAGCAGAGGUAGCCAGGGGUAGCCAAACGGAAGUAGCCGAUGUUCUAGUUGGCGUAAGAUGAAGAAAUGGAGCAAAUGUGGUCAGAUAAUGGCGUACGGCAGAUGAGCUGUGGUCUACUAGAGUUAUUGAAUGGAUGCCAAAAGAAGGGAAGCGCCGUCGAGGACUGCAGAAAACUAGGUGUUGGGAUGAAAUUAUGAAAUAUGCAGGAAUAAGGCAGACUGAGCUGGCACAUAAAAGGGUGAUUGGAGAUCGCUGGAAGAGACAUACGUCCUGAAGUGGACAUAAAUAAGCCCAUUAUGAUGACAACACCUUGAGAUACAUUGCAGCUAUUUUCAUCUGCAACUUUUCAUUUCUCUUUUCAGCCAAUACUGAAUUUGUAGACCUUAUUAAGGGGAAUUAUCAUAUUUUUUAUGUUUCCUCUACUUGCAUUAUCUUGCGUGGACCUGUCUCAGAAAAGUAUCAGGGUUUAUGCACCGCCUGGGUUUCCGCUGAUACAGCCUCCUUUGUGCACAAAAAAUGCAAGGAAGCAUUUAUGACUCAUUGUACAACAAAUGAGCAGUGCAAUAAAAAUGAGGGAAGAAGACGUCGCUAGUGAAUAUAUGUAUGCAACAACAAAUGACGAGAAGAGCACCGAGGCAACACAGCUGCAUAAACAUAACAGUCGGUUCCUUGACUGUCAUGUGAUAAUUUUCGAAUUCUUACUAACAUAUGUACAUCACUGUACAUAUGUUGGAGCUCCUGGUCUCCUUUAGCUCGACAUACUUCUUGAAUAAAUAUAUUCAACAAAAUAAACAUCGUCUAUCACCGCUUCA
RNAcentral lists this long non-coding RNA (948 nucleotides) under Dermacentor andersoni. RNAcentral describes it as "uncharacterized LOC126543873". The record is from RNAcentral. Lineage: Eukaryota; Metazoa; Arthropoda; Arachnida; Ixodida; Ixodidae.